AAAAAAUAGUUAAUUAUCAUUGGUUUAAAGUUAUAGAAAAUUGUAAAACACUAAAAAUAAUACAUUUAUAAUCAACAUUUAAUAUGUUUUCUUAAUAUGUGUGUUUUUUCUAAACAAUCAAACAAAAAGGAACAGAGGGAGUAAAUGUUUAUCAAUAUAUACAACAUCGAAAAGAAUAAUUACU
Molecule: small RNA, 184 nt
Filed under: Arabidopsis thaliana (thale cress)
Lineage: Eukaryota; Viridiplantae; Streptophyta; Magnoliopsida; Brassicales; Brassicaceae
Description: ATSL212010
Source: RNAcentral